Formica exsecta is the source of this 992-nucleotide RNA transcript. RefSeq lists it as uncharacterized. Lineage: Eukaryota; Metazoa; Arthropoda; Insecta; Hymenoptera; Formicidae. The transcript is spliced from 2 exons. The record is from RefSeq and is a predicted model, not a curated record.
AAAGAGAAAACGAGAGAAGGAGAUUAGUGACGAUGCGUUUGUAAUGACGAUGUCGCGAAAACUCCAUCCGACUGCAAGGGCCACGCGCGAAUGCGGCUGCCGCCCGGCGUCGCCGACGAGGCGCAACGAGGUGCAUGGCGUCGUCGACGACGACCGGAGAUGCCGACGGAGUGGGAAACCGAGGAUGCGACACAUCGGACGAUCGGUGACGAUGCCCAGUGCAUACGAAAGGCUCGCGCGAACGGCGCUCUAUCAGCGCUGUCCGGGAUCCGAAAAUAGGAUCACAUCCGCUGGAUGGACAUCGCGUCUUUUCGAAAUAAUCCCUCGUGGACCGGGAACAGGGACAUCGAUCGGCGGAAAAUGGCGUGAAAUUGUUUCGGAUUUAUAUUCAGGUCGGAUGGAUCUUUCUGGGAAGGUGCGUAAUGUGAAUAAGUACGAAAUAUGACGGUGUCUCGAUGAAGACGUGUGUUUUAUCGCAGAAUUUAUUAUAUAAAUGGGAAUGUAUUUCAUUAGAGAAUAAAAUUGCAAAAAAUUUACUCUGCUAUUGUGCCAAUUUGAACUUGAAGAGCCUCUCGAAGAAAUUGUACUUCAAAUUCUAAAGCAUCUUCUAUUUGUUUUACAAAUGUUUAUCACGUACACGCGUAACUAUUGCACACAAUCGACAGCUGACUUCUAAUCACAAGACUCCUGAGCGUUUCCAAGAAUGAUUCCGGAUGCAUGACAAACAAAAUUAAGAGAUCGAUAUUUAAUCAACCUUCAGCUCGACUUUUUCAAUUUAUGCCUAUCAUCUAUUAGCCUGUUGACUACCAAUAAAGCCAAUGAGAAUUUGCAGCCAUUAUUGCAACGCGCAAUCCAAUUCUUAUCUUCCUUAAAAGUUAGAUAUGUGGUACAAAUUAAUAUUAUAUAAUGACUAAUAGCUAUACCUUUGUAGAGUAUUUGUGUAAUAUAAUCUAAUAAAAUGUAGACAAAAAUAAAACCAUGAUAAAUCAAUA